This 31-nucleotide non-coding RNA is filed under the name Homo sapiens (human). Lineage: Eukaryota; Metazoa; Chordata; Mammalia; Primates; Hominidae. The record is from RNAcentral.
UUUGAGGAAUGCAAGAGCCGGCAGGAAAUUC